This 491-nucleotide ribosomal RNA is filed under the name uncultured bacterium. RNAcentral's name for it is "bacterial SSU rRNA". It matches the Rfam family "Bacterial small subunit ribosomal RNA", at positions 903 to 1397 of the family's 1533-position model. The record is from RNAcentral.
AAAGGAAUUGACGGGGGCCCGCACAAGCAGUGGAUUAUGUGGUUUAAUUCGAAGCAACGCGAAGAACCUUACCAGGGCUUGACAUCCAACUAACGAAGCAGAGAUGCAUUAGGUGCCCGCAAGGGAAAGUUGAGACAGGUGGUGCAUGGUUGUCGUCAGCUCGUGUCGUGAGAUGUUGGGUUAAGUCCCGCAACGAGCGCAACCCUUAUUGCUAGUUGCUACGCGAGAGCACUCUAGCGAGACUGCCGUUGACAAAACGGAGGAAGGUGGGGACGACGUCAAAUCAUCAUGCCCCUUAUGUCCUGGGCGACACACGUAAUACAAUGGCGCAAAACAGAGCGAAGCAAGACCGCGAGGUGGAGCGAAUCGCUAAAAGGCGUCUCAGUUCGGAUUGCAGGCUGCAACCCGCCUGCAUGAAGUCGGAAUUGCUAGUAAUCGCGGAUCAGCAUGCCGCGGUGAAUACGUUCCCGGGCCUUGUACACACCGCCCGU